CCUUCUCUCCCACAGUUUCUUUCUCCAAAAGAUCACUUUUUUCUGCCUUAUCUUUCACAGUAUCAUCUUUUUCUUUCUUAUCCACAUCUUGCUUCUUCAAACUCGCCUUCGGCACCGUAUUUCUCUCAUCCACCUCUUCCUCUUCCUCAUCUUCAUCAACAUCCCAACUCAGUUCCUCCUCUUCUUCCCUAGAAAUCGCUCUAUUAACAAGCUUAACCCUCAUAUCCUCAGCUUGCUUAAGCUUAAAAACCUUAUAAAAGUACCUACACCAAAACGUCUCAUGAUCAACCCCAUUUGAAACACCAACAACCCUUUUAUAAAUACUUCCCAUUUCCCCAUUCUCUUCCAUCAAUCUCUCAAUCUCUUCCUUUUUCUCUUCCAAACCGAACCCUGAUUUCCACUUCUUGUAAUCCUCCAAAUCCUCUGGCUCCUCGAUGUAAGUAUUAAUAUCCCCUUGAAUUGCCCUCACUUGAGCAUCGAAUCGACUGUACCGUUUCGAGUUCAAGCUCCGUUGG
This 515-nucleotide long non-coding RNA is filed under the name Gossypium barbadense (sea-island cotton). RNAcentral's name for it is "long non-coding RNA (GBAR_LNC011063)". The record is from RNAcentral. Lineage: Eukaryota; Viridiplantae; Streptophyta; Magnoliopsida; Malvales; Malvaceae.